AGUGAACGCUGGCGGUAGGCCUAACACAUGCAAGUCGAACGGCAGCACAGUAAGAGCUUGCUCUUACGGGUGGCGAGUGGCGGACGGGUGAGGAAUACAUCGGAAUCUACUUUUUCGUGGGGGAUAACGUAGGGAAACUUACGCUAAUACCGCAUACGACCUACGGGUGAAAGCAGGAGAUCUUCGGACCUUGCGCGUUUGAAUGAGCCGAUGUCGGAUUAGCUAGUUGGCUGGGUAAAGGCCCACCAAGGCGACGAUACGUAGCUGGUCUGAGAGGAUGAUCAGCCACACUGGAACUGAGACACGGUCCAGACUCCUACGGGAGGCAGCAGUGGGGAAUAUUGGACAAUGGGCGCAAGCCUGAUCCAGCCAUACCGCGUGGGUGAAGAAGGCCUUCGGGUUGUAAAGCCCUUUUGUUGGGAAAGAAAAGCAGCAGGAGAAUACCCCGCUGUUCUGACGGUACCCAAAGAAUAAGCACCGGCUAACUUCGUG
This 492-nucleotide ribosomal RNA is filed under the name uncultured bacterium. RNAcentral describes it as "partial 16S ribosomal RNA". It matches the Rfam family "Bacterial small subunit ribosomal RNA", at positions 29 to 507 of the family's 1533-position model. The record is from RNAcentral.